This 274-nucleotide ribosomal RNA is filed under the name uncultured bacterium. RNAcentral's name for it is "partial 16S ribosomal RNA". It matches the Rfam family "Bacterial small subunit ribosomal RNA", at positions 523 to 796 of the family's 1533-position model. The record is from RNAcentral.
AUACGGAGGGUGCAAGCGUUACUCGGAAUCACUGGGCGUAAAGCGCGCGCAGGCGGUCUUUUAAGUUGGAUGUGAAAGCCUACGGCUCAACCGUAGAACUGCAUCCAAAACUAUUAGACUAGAGUGUGGGAGAGGAAGAUGGAAUUAGUUGUGUAGGGGUAAAAUCCGUGGAGAUAACUAGGAAUACCAAAAGCGAAGGCAAUCUUCUGGAACACUACUGACGCUGAGGCGCGAAAGCGUGGGGAGCAGACAGGAUUAGAUACCCUAGUAGUCC